Molecule: long non-coding RNA, 145 nt
Organism: Telopea speciosissima
Lineage: Eukaryota; Viridiplantae; Streptophyta; Magnoliopsida; Proteales; Proteaceae
Exons: 3
Source: RefSeq, a predicted model, not a curated record
CAAUGAGGAUAAAUUUUGUCAUUUCACAUGAGAACUGCAUUAAAUGCUGCAUUAAAAUGACUUACAACUUUUAGAAAACCCUUUUUUGCCCUUGCAUUAAAUAAUUUUUGGGAAUAAGGACAAGGGGAAAAAAGUAAGAUUACAA